UUGACAUUUACCUAGGCACAGCUCACAGGCAUGAUAAUGACUCUCAUAUGUGGACCCCACAAGUAGGAGUAAUUUUGACUCUUGUAACUUGCUUUAGAAACAUAAGUGAUGUCUUAGAUCUCUUUCUGGCGAAAAGGUCACAGAAGAUUAUAACAGCCUCAGAUAAUUUGCAGCCCUUGGCUUGUACAGAGAGUGUCAGAACAGAACCCAGCAGAAAGGAGAAAUUGUGAGUCUCAUAUGUACACCCAGCUGACUGUAAGGACUGUCACCAUCUUACAUACAUGAAGCCAACUGUCACACAUGAAAAGAGGACAUGUGUGGUAUUGUAAAUCUCAUCUCGAAUAUUCUCUCAGUGUGACUGUGAUAUAAAUCUUUGCCAAGCAUCUGUGUGAUUUGACUCUCCAAACUGGUUCCAGCCCAUAUAUACGGGAUUGUGAUCUCUACCUGGGCCAACCUCUAGAUAAUGUGACUCUCCUGCCUGGGCCCUUCUCUCAGUAAGGGUUGUGACAUAUCACUGGAUCUAACACCCAAGUGAUGUUACAUUCUUGCCUGGACCAUGCACAGAGACAUCAUUGUGACAUAUCACUGUGUCCACCACUUAGGUGAUGUAACUCUCCUCUCUGGAAUGGACCCUGAAUACGGAGUGGUAGUGACAUCUUCCUAGGCCAGACACACAGGUGUUGGUACUCUUUUUCCAGGGCUAUGUUUCAAGGAGGGCAUUGUGACAUAUCUCUGGACCUAUCACCGAGGUGAUAUGAUUCAACGCUUGGGCCUCACCGACGUAGAACAUUGUGACAUAAAAGUUAAACCUGCACCAAAGGUGUUGUAACUCUUUCACCUUGGUCCUGUCCUAAGGGAGCCCUGCAACAUAUCUCAGGACCCAGCACUCAGGAACAUUGUGACAUCGUUGGACAUAGCAUCUAGGAAAUGUGACUCUUCUCUCCUGCCUAGGUCCUGCCCACUAAAGGAAUUGUGACAUACCACUGAGUGCAAAACCUAGCCCUGUCUACAGUGGACAUGGUACCACAUGACUUGAGGCUGUAUCCAGGCCAUGACCAUAGAUGAAAUUUUGACAUACGUGGACCAUACACCUAAGCGAAGGUGCCUGGGCCUGCCUACAAAGGGCACUUUUACGUAUUACUAGGACCAGCACGCAGCUGGGUGUCAUACAUUUCGGAGAGCAUAAAGUAUACAUUCUCACAGAGACAGGAGUUCAAAAGUUGCCUGGUCCUCAGAAACAACUGGCUAGGUAAAAACUUGUGCAUGUGAUUCUGGAUAGGGGGUCAGCGCCUGUCUGUUGGUUAAGCAAUCUGUCUUUUGUUUGCCAUCUGCCUCUGUGGUGGGCUGUUUCCUGAGUCUUUACUUCCAUCUUGACUGAGGUGGUCCACUUUGCAGAGCCUUCUGCUGUUGUGCUGUUUUACCUCAGUCAGAAUUGCCUGAAUUUUUCUCUGAGCAACCUGGCAAGCAUAGAAGUGACCAGUUAUUUUGACAACCACUUGGUCAUUCUCAUCAGGUGUCUGGUCAUGAGGGACAGCAACUUCUGCACUUGACAAAUUCUGAAGUUUAUUCACCGUUUUGCCUCCUUUUCCAAUAACUCCGCCAGCAACAAAGGAUGACACUGUGAUAUAAGCUUCAAGUUUAACCUCUUCUUUAGGACUAACAAAAUUUUCUUCUUUAGUUUUUCCAUAAAUUCUUCCCUGAGCCUUGAAGUGAGCCUCUGGUGGUCCAGUGAUCAUUACCAUCCUCACUUUAGCAUCUGGUGCUUCUGCUGGAGCAAUGUUAAUUGAAGCUCCGGCAAAGCGAGAAAGCUGCUUGAUGUGCUUGGCCCUGCUUGCCGAUGAUGACACCGACUGAUAGAGCCUGGAUAAACAGAUGAACAGUCUCCGUUUCUGAUUGCUCAAACUGCGGCUUUGGCACAUGCCUCAACAUUGCCUUUAACUGUAAUGGUGCGUUCUGGAUUAUACAGCGUCAAUUCCUGAAAGCACCUUGAUGGCCUUGAGGGCCCAGCUCUCCUCUGGGCAGUCCAUGAACGCAUAGCCAGUCUUCACCAGGAAGGAUCCCAACACUGGGAUCUUGGCGUCCUUGAAGAUACUUUCUAGGUCCAAGGGGACGGCGUUCUCGUGGAGGUUUCCGAUAUACAGUUUGUUCAUUGUGAAGAAUGGUUGUUUAAAAAAAUUAACGAGAAGAACGAGAAAUUAAAACCACCCAUGGUGAUGGAUGGAUCCAGCUGGUUUUGUUGCUCUCAUCUUCUCACCUUUAAAAUACACAAACACAGAAAGAACCAAGCACAAGAACAAGGAGUGAAAAAUCAGAUCCGAGGCUUGUUUUUCCUUGUCCUAGAUAUGUUUUAAAAGAGAAAGAAAAGAAAAAGCCUAGCUACAACCCAAAUGCAUCAACCAGUCUUCCUAAGUCUCGCUUUUGAAUAAUUUUCAAAUGAGAUGUACACCUAAAUUUUAAGAGUGUUUGAGUUUGUGUUUGCUUUAGUGGUGCUUUAUAUCUGUCUGAUUGUAAGCAUAAUGUUCAUGGAAAGAGACUUUUGGUAGGAAUCAAACUGGGACUCUUACAAUGGCUUAAGUCCAUCAGAAUAGUUCUGAUGCUACUUAGGAGCAUCAGAACUCCUUUCUUUGCCUGAUUUUUCAACUUAUUUCUUAAUUGGAACCCCAUAAAGAACAUGAAUGGUCUUCUGAUAUCCUUAAUGUCUUAGAGUUAUAUCAAUAUUUUGCU
Molecule: long non-coding RNA, 2724 nt
Filed under: Homo sapiens (human)
Lineage: Eukaryota; Metazoa; Chordata; Mammalia; Primates; Hominidae
Description: HSALNT0340955
Source: RNAcentral